RNAcentral lists this ribosomal RNA (484 nucleotides) under uncultured bacterium. Its description in RNAcentral is "partial 16S ribosomal RNA". It matches the Rfam family "Bacterial small subunit ribosomal RNA", at positions 30 to 507 of the family's 1533-position model. The record is from RNAcentral.
AUUGAACGCUGGCGGCAGGCCUAACACAUGCAAGUCGAGCGGAUGAAGGGAGCUUGCUCCUGGAUUCAGCGGCGGACGGGUGAGUAAUGCCUAGGAAUCUGCCUGGUAGUGGGGGAUAACGUCCGGAAACGGGCGCUAAUACCGCAUACGUCCUGAGGGAGAAAGUGGGGGAUCUUCGGACCUCACGCUAUCAGAUGAGCCUAGGUCGGAUUAGCUAGUUGGUGGGGUAAAGGCCUACCAAGGCGACGAUCCGUAACUGGUCUGAGAGGAUGAUCAGUCACACUGGAACUGAGGCACGGUCCAGACUCCUACGGGAGGCAGCAGUGGGGAAUAUUGGACAAUGGGCGAAAGCCUGAUCCAGCCAUGCCGCGUGUGUGAAGAAGGUCUUCGGAUUGUAAAGCACUUUAAGUUGGGAGGAAGGGCAGUAAGUUAAUACCUCGCUGUUUUGACGUUACCAACAGAAUAAGCACCGGCUAACUUCGUG